GAGGGUACAGCUCAGUGGUAGAGUGUGUAUUUAGCAUGCAUAAGGUCCUGGGUUCAAUCCCCAGUAUCUCCA
This 72-nucleotide transfer RNA is filed under the name Camelus bactrianus (Bactrian camel). It matches the Rfam family "tRNA". Rfam says of the family: Transfer RNA (tRNA) molecules are approximately 80 nucleotides in length. Their secondary structure includes four short double-helical elements and three loops (D, anti-codon, and T loops). Lineage: Eukaryota; Metazoa; Chordata; Mammalia; Artiodactyla; Camelidae. The record is from Rfam by way of RNAcentral. RNAcentral also lists the same sequence under 2 other names.